This 95-nucleotide transfer RNA is filed under the name Roseomonas fluvialis. RNAcentral's name for it is "Roseomonas sp. S08 tRNA-Ala". The record is from RNAcentral. Lineage: Bacteria; Pseudomonadati; Pseudomonadota; Alphaproteobacteria; Acetobacterales; Roseomonadaceae.
CGCCGGCGUGGCGAGGCCGAGCGCGCAGGGGCAGGCGAUCACCAGCACCGAGACGGCGGUGAUCACCGCCUGUUCCAGCCCUGCGCCGGCCGCCA